UUGGAUGUAAGCUUGGGGUUUAACUGAC
Molecule: non-coding RNA, 28 nt
Filed under: Mus musculus (house mouse)
Lineage: Eukaryota; Metazoa; Chordata; Mammalia; Rodentia; Muridae
Source: RNAcentral